Molecule: ribosomal RNA, 45 nt
Filed under: Lactifluus sp. AV 11-183
Lineage: Eukaryota; Fungi; Basidiomycota; Agaricomycetes; Russulales; Russulaceae
Description: partial 28S ribosomal RNA
Source: RNAcentral
CUGACCUCAAAUCGGGUGWGACUACCCGCUGAACUUAAGCAUAUC